RNAcentral lists this ribosomal RNA (253 nucleotides) under uncultured bacterium. RNAcentral describes it as "partial 16S ribosomal RNA". It matches the Rfam family "Bacterial small subunit ribosomal RNA", at positions 524 to 776 of the family's 1533-position model. The record is from RNAcentral.
UACGGGGGGGGCAAGCGUUGUUCGGAAUUACUGGGCAUAAAGGGCGUGUAGGCGGCCAACUAAGUCCGACGUGAAAUCCCCAGGCUUAACCUGGGAACUGCGUCGGAUACUGGAUGGCUUGAAUCCGGGAGAGGGAUGCAGAAUUCCAGGUGUAGCGGUGAAAUGCGUAGAUAUCUGGAGGAAUACCGGUGGCGAAGGCGGCAUCCUGGACCGGCAUUGACGCUGAAGCGCGAAAGCUAGGGGAGCAAACAGG